This 417-nucleotide ribosomal RNA is filed under the name uncultured Gammaproteobacteria bacterium. RNAcentral describes it as "bacterial SSU rRNA". It matches the Rfam family "Bacterial small subunit ribosomal RNA", at positions 9 to 416 of the family's 1533-position model. Lineage: Bacteria; Pseudomonadati; Pseudomonadota; Gammaproteobacteria. The record is from RNAcentral.
GAGUUUGAUCGUGGCUCAGAUUGAACGCUGGCGGCAGGCCUAACACAUGCAAGUCGAGCGGAUGAGAGGAGCUUGCUCCUUGAUUCAGCGGGCGGACGGGUGAGUAAUGCCUAGGAAUCUGGCCUGACUAGGUGGGGGACAAACGUUUCGAAAGGAACGCUAAUACCGCAUACGUCCUACGGGAGAAAGCAGGGGACCUUCGGGCCGUUGCGCUAAUCAGAUGAGGCCUAGGGUCCGGGAUUAGCUAGUAGGUGAGGUAAUGGCUCACCUAGGCGACGAUCCGUAACUGGUCUGAGAGGAUGAUCAGUCACACUGGAACUGAGACACGGGUCCAGACUCCUACGGGAGGCAGCAGUGGGGAAUAUUGGACAAUGGGCGAAAGCCUGAUCCAGCCAUGCCGCGUGUGUGAAGAAGGUC